UGGGGAAUAUUGGACAAUGGGCGCAAGCCUGAUCCAGCAAUGCCGCGUGUGUGAAGAAGGCCUUAGGGUUGUAAAGCACUGUCAGUGGGGAGGAAGUUUGUGGUGCUAAUAUCAUCAUAAAUUGACGUUACCCACAGAAGAAGCACCGGCUAACUCUGGGCCAGCAGCCGCGGUAAUACAGAGGGUGCGAGCGUUAAUCGGAAUUACUGGGCGUAAAGCGUGUGUAGGUGGUUAGGUAAGUUAGAUGUGAAAUCCCCGGGCUCAACCUGGGAAUUGCGUUUAAAACUGCUUAGCUAGAGUAUUGUAGAGGAUAGUGGAAUUUCCAGUGUAGCGGUGAAAUGCGUAGAUAUUGGAAGGAACACCAGUGGCGAAGGCGACUAUCUGGGCACAUACUGACACUGAGACACGAAAGCAUGGGGAGCAAA
This 425-nucleotide ribosomal RNA is filed under the name uncultured bacterium. Its description in RNAcentral is "bacterial SSU rRNA". It matches the Rfam family "Bacterial small subunit ribosomal RNA", at positions 355 to 772 of the family's 1533-position model. The record is from RNAcentral.